Non-coding RNA from Chiloscyllium plagiosum (whitespotted bambooshark), 931 nucleotides. The record is from RefSeq and is a predicted model, not a curated record. NCBI's taxonomy places the organism in Eukaryota, Metazoa, Chordata, Chondrichthyes, Orectolobiformes, Hemiscylliidae.
UGACAGGAAAAUUGGACCCUAUGCCAGUUAUUAAAAGAAAGCAGUGCCUGGAAUUUCCACAGAGGUUCUCCAGCCAGCGAUCAGUGGAGCUAAAUGGAAUAAACAACUUAGACCGCUGAACAACUGAAAGCUGUCAUUUACACCAUCUCUCCAAGGGUCUACAGACAUGCAGUCGAGCCUGCCUCCUUCAGUUCUCUUCUGUUCACUCCUAUGAUGUGUCACUGAAAGGGAAUGCUGGAGCUGACAGCCAUCCAGAUUAGCUGACAGCUUCCGAGGACAGGACUUCUCAUUGAUUAGCUGGCUUUAAUUCCAUCCGGUCAGCAUCUGGGACAUUCUACGAAAUCAACAAACAAAUUGUCUUCAGCGUGAAACCUAUAUCCCAUUGCAGAACAUCUGACUAUAUCAAAUAUUAUUGAUCUCAUCGCUGCUUUAUCUCAUUAAUGAGGCCUGUUGGACCUUCUCUCCAAAGUUUAUGACCUUCUUCUUACCUUUCAUAUCUGCAGAAAGGGGGUGCUUUUGUUGCCAUUCAUUCCUUCCUCCAUCUUCAUUGUUGCUUCAGCAAUUUUCAGUUGAGAUCAUCAAAUAAUUUUCUGGAUUUGCUCUGAUGUGGACCUUUUAAAUGUUGAGGUAAUUGUAGUCAAAACUCAAAACUUGCUUUGUUUUGAGCUCAUAGUUGUCUUAUUCCUCAAUGUGCUUCCUCCACUAAAACAUGAAAUGCAUGUUCUCUGAAAUGUUGCAUAAAUUUUAGUGAGUUUUCAAUUUUGCUGCAGUAAGUACCUCCUUGACAAAGGUCAAGUGUUUUAUGUACUGUUGUUAAAUUAUUUAAUUUGGUCUUCUGUCUAUUAUACUUUUGUUCUAUGGAUGGUUUCACUUUCCUUUGGCAGUAAAUUAUAUGCAAAAUGUGAUUAUGUGCUUUGUGACAUAGGCAGUA